AUCUUGGGGACACUGUAGCUAAAUGUGAUGUUGGAGAAGGGCCUAGUUGGAUGAUGCAGGUCACUGGGGUCGUGACCUGAAAGAGUAUAUCGCCCUCUCCAGCUCCACCUUUUCUCUCUGCUUUCCAGCUGCCAUGAUGUGAGCAGCCUUCAUCCACUAUGCCCCUCUGUCAUGAUGCCUGCCUUGGAGCCAGUUGACCAUCUUUUUUUACAGGCAUGAAUCCAAGAGUUGUGGAGUCAGGGAGGCUUCAACCAAGAUUUCAGAAGAAGGCCUGAGAGUCCGGGUAAUGUGUUCCUGAGAGAGGAUUGUAUGGAGCUGUAAAAACACCCUGGGAUCUGACUGAGCAUUGUACUACUGUACACUAUCGCACUGUAUGGUAAGCAUACAGCAGCACAACUGGGACAAUGUCCAGCAGACACAUGAGCUGCUAUGAUUUGUAUAUAUCUGUGAGUGCUUGCAAUACAAAAUCUGUUCAUAUCUGUGAACGUUUUCAACUCAAAUGUUCAUAAGUUGGGGUUAUAGUACAUGUAAUCAGAGCAGAGUCCACCAGAAACACUAAUACUGAACUGAAGUUCAUGUUCA
Long non-coding RNA from Fukomys damarensis (Damara mole-rat), 582 nucleotides. RefSeq lists it as uncharacterized. The transcript is spliced from 3 exons. NCBI's taxonomy places the organism in Eukaryota, Metazoa, Chordata, Mammalia, Rodentia, Bathyergidae. The record is from RefSeq and is a predicted model, not a curated record.